UGUCCCCUUAUGGUGUUAGUAUGGUAGUUACUGCUUGUUACUAUUGCAUGCGACUGUAUUUAUGUUUCUUAUGUUUACAUAAUUAUUUACGUUAUCUCUGUGGGAUUACUUAUGCUUUAUUAUUUCGUUUUGUCUUGCUUUGGAUUCUAAUUUUGUCUUUGUUUUAAUGCAGCUUUUCAUUUUAUCCUAUGCGCCGAGGGUCGAU
This 205-nucleotide long non-coding RNA is filed under the name Nicotiana benthamiana. RNAcentral's name for it is "long non-coding RNA (NBEN_LNC016946)". The record is from RNAcentral. Lineage: Eukaryota; Viridiplantae; Streptophyta; Magnoliopsida; Solanales; Solanaceae.